Molecule: long non-coding RNA, 1525 nt
Organism: Cyprinodon tularosa
Lineage: Eukaryota; Metazoa; Chordata; Actinopteri; Cyprinodontiformes; Cyprinodontidae
Exons: 3
Source: RefSeq, a predicted model, not a curated record
ACAAAAACUUUGGUGACCCGGUUAAAUCAUGUGGAAGAAAAGAGCCCUCUUUAGCAGUGGAAGAAAGUGCAAGGCAGCUUAAUAACAAAAAGCUGGAUGUCAUUUGCAACUGUCAGCGCCUCGAAAGCUUCAACAUCGGGAUGGAAACAAACAGACGAGUGGGUGAGGUUUAGAUUCUGGUCUGUAAAACCCAAACUGCUCCUUUGGAGGAUGUCGCAACAGCGAUCAAUGUUACUGUGUGAGGGAGCAGAUGAUGUACGUAACUCGGGAUCAAUCGCUUUGUGAGACGGCUUGUCGUUUCCAGUUUCCUCCUCUUAACUGGCUGUGAUGAAAGCUGGAAUCCUCUAUGGGUGUGUGUGUGAGGAAGCGUGCUUUCCAACUGUCCACAGGCUUCUUUGUGACACGGCUAACCAGAUCGUUGUGAGAAAUUCCCAAAGCCCAUUGAGGAGAGCUGAAAGAACCUGCUGGGUUUAUGCGCUCUACUGAGAGCAGCGGAUACAGAGAUGAGAGACGUACACUGCGAUCUGUAUAGAGCAGUGAAGCAGGAGAGGAACUCUGUGUGGAGGAGGUGGUUCUGGUUCUUUACAUCUGAGUGAUGGAUGCAUUUUCCUGCCUCCACCUGCAGCUUAAGCUGCGCUUCUGGAUUUCAACUGGUUGUCAUGGAGACAUCAAGCUCCUCCAUUUACUGCAGUUUUUGGUGCCAAGAGACAAAAAGCUGGUGUGAAAACAAGUGUAAUAAGUGAAAAAUGGCCUAAUAUUUGGAGCCGCACAACGAUGCUCAGAAAACACGAGUGAAAACGCCCCUGGGAGAACCCCCAACUCCGGAGAAAGGUCCCGCCCCGGACGCCAGCGCCAUGAUCUAACCGCUAUCUAAUGUCGCUCUGGAGCUGAUCCGUUGCUGGGCUCCAAAUGCCAGCGUUCAUCGUGGCAGCAGGUGAAGCUUUGAGGCUUCGUCCUCCUCAUUACAGCCGUCACUGCAGUAUAUUUAUACUCCUGAGCUUGGUUGGCUCUUGUCAAUAUGUUUUAACUUGUAAAACAAAGCAGCACAGUGGCACGUUGCUCCAAUUACUGUUAGUUUUUGUUUACGGCUCUGAGAGCCACAUACGCAGCUCCGAAUCCUUGGAUUUCCGUUUCCUCCACCCGCCAAGAAGAAUGAUGGUUGCCAGCCGUCUGAGAGCUACGUCUAAGCUUUGAUCCAAUAAACAGUUCCUUCACCUCUGUGGUGCAACAUGCUAUUUACAUUCUGCAGGGCUUUCAUCCAAACUUCUGUUCUGAUGUUUUAAUUCAGCUGAAGUUGUCCAGAAGAAUUAGGGAACGUUGCACGUUACUGUUGUGGCUGAGCAGCAAGCUUUUCCUUAUAGUGUGUUUAUUUUAGCCCAGCAGUUCAGACAAAAUGAGGCAAAACAUUACAAAUAACAGCAAAUAUGAUGCAUCUGACAUGAAAGUGGAAAAGUGACAAACACCCGGAAAACCAUGCCUGCUCUAUAUAAUGUGUAUGUACAGGAAGCUGGUGUUCAGUUGAACU